Cucurbita maxima (winter squash) is the source of this 2726-nucleotide RNA transcript. It is a transcript of the gene named quinolinate synthase, chloroplastic-like, with no coding region annotated. The transcript has 8 exons. The record is from RefSeq and is a predicted model, not a curated record. NCBI's taxonomy places the organism in Eukaryota, Viridiplantae, Streptophyta, Magnoliopsida, Cucurbitales, Cucurbitaceae.
GGAGCAUAAUGACCAAAGAAAUUCCGGGCCUUGUAUUUAACUAAUGGCUAUACUCUCUCCGCCAUUCUCUCUCUGUAUCCGUGUCAGACUUUUCUUGUGCUGCUCUCGAGAAUCGUGUACGCCCCACUGCUAGAUACCCACCUCCCUCUUUAUCCUUGCGCCCCUUUGGUUUGUUCCCUUCUUGCAAUGGAGUCCUCUACGAUCAUGGCUAGUAGAGCUACCACUUCCUCUGUUUUCUCCUUUUGUUCAAACCCAAAUUCUAAGAGUACCCAUGUGAAAUUUCUUGCUCAAAAACCUCCCAUACCGUUCUUCGAGACCCAUAAAUGCAAUCAAUCACUAAAAUCCAAUACCCAAAAUCUCGGCUCUCGUUUCGCCUGCUCUGCUGCGACCCUUUCGCCGUCUUCUACCACUGAGCUUGUUCCCUUUAAGCUUCAUCGCUUGAUUGAGGAAUUCGAGUCAAUAUCCGAGCCGGUCGAUAGAGUGAAACGGUUGCUACGUUAUGCGAGUCUUCUUCCUCCUUAUGGUGCGAGAAAUGACUCGAAUCGGGUCAUGGGGUGUACGGCACAGGUGUGGUUGGAAGUGAGGAUUGAUGAAGAGGGCAAGAUGAGGUUCGCUGCUGAUAGUGAUUCGGAAAUUUCUAAAGGGUUUUGCUCGUGUUUGAUUUCGGUGCUUGAUGGUGCGUUGCCAGAGGAUGUUCUUAGGUUGAAGACGGACGAUUUGGUGGCUCUGAAUGUGGGGUUGCCGGUUCGAGAGCGAUCGAGAGCAAACACUUGGUACAAUGUUUUGAUUAGUAUGCAAAAGAGAACUAAGGGUUUGAUUGCGGAGCUUGAAGGGAAAUCGCCAUUUCAGGCGUUUCCAUCUCUGGUUGUGAGUGCUGAUGGAAUUCAUGCUAAAGGAAGCUAUGCUGAAGCUCAGGCAAGAUAUUUGUUCCCAAAUGAUUCUAUGGUGAAAGAACUUGUCGAAGUUCUAAGGGAGAAGAAAAUUGGUGUUGUUGCACACUUUUACAUGGAUCCUGAAGUUCAAGGAGUCUUAACUGCUGCCCGGAAGGAAUGGCCUCACAUUUAUAUAUCUGAUUCAUUGGUAAUGGCAGAUAUGGCUGUCAAGAUGGCUAAAGAUGGAUGCCAAUUUGUAGCAGUACUUGGUGUAGAUUUCAUGUCAGAAAAUGUGCGUGCAAUUCUUGAUCAAGCUGGCUUUGGAGAGGUAGGUGUGUAUAGGAUGUCUGAUGAACAGAUCAGUUGUUCUUUAGCUGAUGCUGCUGCUACUCCUUCUUAUAUGAACUAUCUUGAAAUGGCUUCAAGGGAGGCUCCCUCCCUGCAUGUUAUCUACAUAAAUACAUCAUUAGAAACUAAAGCCUAUGCUCAUGAGCUUGUGCCUACAAUUACGUGUACUUCUUCUAAUGUCAUGCAAACAAUUUUGCAGGCUUUUGCUCAAGUACCAGAAUUAAAUGUUUGGUAUGGGCCUGAUUCCUACAUGGGUGCAAAUAUUGUAGAACUUUUGCAGCAGAUGACCAAGAUGACGGAUGACGAAAUUGCAAAGAUUCAUCCAAAUCAUAAUAGGGACUCGAUUAGAUCAUUGCUCCCUCGUCUGCACUACUAUCAGGAAGGUACAUGCAUUGUUCAUCAUCUUUUCGGGCACGAAGUUGUGGAGAAGAUAAAUGAAAUGUACUGUGACGCAUUCCUUACUGCUCACUUUGAAGUUCCUGGAGAAAUGUUUGUCUUAGCAAUGGAAGCAAAAAGAAGAGGAAUGGGAAUUGUAGGUUCCACCCAGAACAUAUUAGACUUCAUAAUACAAAGGGUGCAAGAAGCUUUAGACAGAAAUGUUAAUGAACAUCUACAAUUUGUGUUGGGAACAGAAUCUGGAAUGAUAACUUCAAUUGUUGCAGCUGUUCGUAAUUUAUUAAUUUCUUCAAAAACCACUUCUGGAGGAGCAAAGAUCAAUGUAGAGAUUGUCUUUCCUGUGUCGUCGGAUUCAGUGACAAGCACAUCAUCAAGUUCGUCCCCCGGCCAAAAAUUGGUUGCGCUCGGUGAGAUCAAUUUACUUGUAGUACCUGGAGUUUCGAGUGGGGAGGGAUGUUCUAUUCAUGGUGGCUGUGCAUCUUGUCCAUACAUGAAGAUGAAUUCUCUCAGCUCUCUUAUGAAAGUUUGUCAAGAUCUUCCCCAUAACAAAGCUGCUAUCUCAGCUUAUGAAGCCAAGAGAUUCAAACUGCACACAGUAACUGGAAAAUCAGUUGCAGAUAUUGGAUGCGAACCAAUUUUGCACAUGAGAGAGUUCCAGGCUGGAAAACAGCUGCCGGAGAAACUUGUUCAUCAGAUCAUGAACCGGUAAUAUCAAUGGUGACAGUUUCAGCAAGUCAAUCGGCUGCUGUUGUCCAAGGAUGAUUCUCUCUUCACUCACUUCUCAGCAACAAAUGAGUGAACUUGUAAUUGUGCAGCACUCACUUCUCAGCAACAAGUGAGUUAAGUCAAUUCGUUCUUGUGUCGCCUACGACCAAGCGAUAUAUGCUCGAGCCUCUAGCCCGGUUCAAGGAGAAAGUUUUAGAAAACGGGGGUAGAGAGAUUUCGAAAGAGAGUUUUGAAAGAUUGAAAUUGGUGUUAUAUGUGAUGCAAGCAAAAAGGUAGCAAUAACGACAGCAUAUAACUAUCGGGUAGGAAGAAGUUGACAACUAGUUAUAUCUCCCUAUAGUACAUUUUGGGGUAUUUUUGCCCCGGUGUAGAUGUGAUUCUGGU